UAAACUCUAGGAGAAGAAGAAAGAAAAGGAGAGGAAGAGAGAAAAAGCUUGGUUUUGGUGAUUCAAGUAAGAAACGGUAAGAAUUCUUGCUUUUGGCUUGAGUAGUCUUUGAAAUUGAGUUAGUGACUUAGAGAAAAGUCUUGUGGCAGCAAAGAUUGGCUUGAUUGGAGAAAAAAUUGAUAACAUGUAAGCAAAUAAACCCAUGGGUACAUGAAGGACUCAAAGUGGAAAAGGAAAACGGAAGUGCAAAGAUAAGGUUAGAGUAUCGUGGUGGCUUGUCGGAAUAAAUAACGAGCGAUUGGCCAGUGAAAAUAGUUAGAGACACCUCCGAACAAAUAGCAACUUAAUAUCUCGUUGUUGCCAGGUUUCUUGAGUUAAAAGUGAUUGGAUCCUAGGACGAGAUGCUCCUCCCUAUACAUUGCUCGGUAGGUUUAAUGUGACAUUAAGUGUUAUCAAUCGUGCCCAGAGUCACUCCGCUGACGGUCAAGGUCAAUUAUGUGUAUAUGAAUAUUUAAUGUGAAACAUUAAGA
Molecule: non-coding RNA, 530 nt
Organism: Theobroma cacao (cacao)
Lineage: Eukaryota; Viridiplantae; Streptophyta; Magnoliopsida; Malvales; Malvaceae
Source: RefSeq, a predicted model, not a curated record